RNAcentral lists this ribosomal RNA (492 nucleotides) under uncultured bacterium. Its description in RNAcentral is "partial 16S ribosomal RNA". It matches the Rfam family "Bacterial small subunit ribosomal RNA", at positions 29 to 507 of the family's 1533-position model. The record is from RNAcentral.
AGUGAACGCUGGCGGUAGGCCUAACACAUGCAAGUCGAACGGCAGCACAGUAAGAGCUUGCUCUUACGGGUGGCGAGUGGCGGACGGGUGAGGAAUACAUCGGAAUCUACUUUUUCGUGGGGGAUAACGUAGGGAAACUUACGCUAAUACCGCAUACGACCUACGGGUGAAAGCAGCGGAUCUUCGGACCUUGCGCGAUUGAAUGAGCCGAUGUCGGAUUAGCUAGUUGGCGGGGUAAUGGCCCACCAAGGCGACGAUCCGUAGCUGGUCUGAGAGGAUGAUCAGCCACACUGGAACUGAGACACGGUCCAGACUCCUACGGGAGGCAGCAGUGGGGAAUAUUGGACAAUGGGCGCAAGCCUGAUCCAGCCAUACCGCGUGGGUGAAGAAGGCCUUCGGGUUGUAAAGCCCUUUUGUUGGGAAAGAAAAGCAGCAGGUUAAUACCCCGCUGUUCUGACGGUACCCAAAGAAUAAGCACCGGCUAACUUCGUG